RNAcentral lists this ribosomal RNA (165 nucleotides) under uncultured bacterium. RNAcentral describes it as "partial 16S ribosomal RNA". It matches the Rfam family "Bacterial small subunit ribosomal RNA", at positions 354 to 511 of the family's 1533-position model. The record is from RNAcentral.
GUAGGGAAUCUUCGGCAAUGGACGAAAGUCUGACCGAGCAACGCCGCGUGAGUGAAGAAGGUUUUCGGAUCGUAAAACUCUGUUGGUAGAGAAGAACAAGGGUGAGAGUAACUGUUCACCCCUUGACGGUAUCUAACCAGAAAGCCACGGCUAACUACGUGCCAU